CCGUCAGCCCCUUUAUCUCCCAGCUCCCUGUUUCCCUGAUCCCGGGGUCCUGGUGCCCCAAGAAGGGGCCUCAGCCAGCGCUGCCCAGGCCCAGAGGAAGAUGAAGGUCGCUGUGCUCAGCGUGGCCCUGCUCUUCACCAUCCUGCUGAGCCCCCCGGCAGAUGCCAAGCCCUUUUUUGCCAGCGGCGAAGCCUGCGGGGGGGUAAGUCUGGGAGCUG
Molecule: long non-coding RNA, 218 nt
Organism: Corapipo altera (White-ruffed manakin)
Lineage: Eukaryota; Metazoa; Chordata; Aves; Passeriformes; Pipridae
Exons: 3
Source: RefSeq, a predicted model, not a curated record